AUUGAACGCUGGCGGCAUGCCUAACACAUGCAAGUCGAACGGCAGCGCGGGGGCAACCCUGGCGGCGAGUGGCGGACGGGUGAGGAAUGCAUCGGAAUCUGCCUGGUUGUGGGGGAUAACGUAGGGAAACUUACGCUAAUACCGCAUACGACCUACGGGUGAAAGUGGGGGACCGCAAGGCCUCACGCGAUCAGAGGAGCCGAUGCCGGAUUAGCUAGUUGGCGGGGUAAAGGCCCACCAAGGCGACGAUCCGUAGCUGGUCUGAGAGGAUGAUCAGCCACACUGGAACUGAGACACGGUCCAGACUCCUACGGGAGGCAGCAGUGGGGAAUAUUGGACAAUGGGCGCAAGCCUGAUCCAGCAAUGCCGCGUGAGUGAAGAAGGCCUCGGUUGUAAAGUACUCUUUCGGUCCGGGAACGGAAAGUACGACACAGGUUAAUAACCUCGUGUGGAUGACGGUACCGGAACGUAAGAAGAC
Molecule: ribosomal RNA, 478 nt
Filed under: uncultured bacterium
Lineage: Bacteria
Description: bacterial SSU rRNA
Rfam family: Bacterial small subunit ribosomal RNA
Source: RNAcentral